This 236-nucleotide unclassified non-coding RNA is filed under the name Glomeromycota sp. Its description in RNAcentral is "partial contains 5.8S ribosomal RNA and internal transcribed spacer 2". The stretch from base 1 to 71 matches the Rfam family "5.8S ribosomal RNA", at positions 84 to 154 of the family's 154-position model. The record is from RNAcentral. Lineage: Eukaryota; Fungi; Glomeromycota.
GUGAAUCAUCAAAUCUUUGAACGCAAAUUGCACUCUCUGGUAAUCCGGAAAGUAUGUCUGUUUGAGGGUCAGAUAAAUCAAAAUAGGCGUUGUUGCUACCUGUCGUGGUGUGUGAUGUAUCGGAAUUGAGUCGUUUUUUACUUUUGGUUCAAGUGAUUUAAAAUUAUGUUCGAUUUUUGAACGUAUUUAAAUCAUCAUCUACGUUUGUAAUAUUACAUCUUUAGUGCGGUUAUUCA